AAUUUUGGUAUUAUCCAAACUUGAGGGACUGACAUAGCAAAUAUAAUUAAAAUUGAUUCAAUCCCUAUUUGUUUCAUAUUCGGCGGUCGGUGAGCAAAAAUAGAGAGAUCAAAAGGAAAACAGAGAAGAAAAGGCAGCUUAGCAGAUUUUGAUCAUAUGGCUAUAUCUUUACGAUCCAAAAGUCUGAUCGUUGUGAAAUUUGGAUAGCAAGUGCACAACUCAUUGGGCUUCAAAUCUGUAUGGUUAAGAUCAAGAUCCGACAACUCAUCUGUGAUAUAUCACUACCGGAACAGCGACAUUGUUGGUGAGAUGUUUCCUUCCUGUUGGAUUUGGGUUUUAUUCCAAGAUCAUGUAUAUAUUAUUCUUUUAUUUCUCACAUAAGUUUGGUGUUUGCUCUCAAAAAUUUGCAUAACUAGUUAGAGUUUAGAGUGAGUGUUUUGUUCUUGAAUACGGUAGUUAUUAAAUGUUUUCAUAGAUUUGUUGCAAGUCGAAAAAAUAAAGCGAGAAAUUAAAUACUAUCUUCCCCUUUAUCCUUGUUUCUUGGCCUUUGCAUAUCCAGGAUACAAAUGGGUUAAGGUUUUUCUUUUUCUCUGUAAUAGAAUAUCCAUUUACAUUUAAUUUAUUAUAAUUCUUUAUUUGUGUCAACAAGGCCCUGUUUUAUAUGAUUUUGGUGAUGAAAGGGAAGGAAAAUAUUCAAGAAAACCAAUGUUUUUUAAUACAAGGGGAUAAACACAAGUAGGGAAAAAUGAAAACCCUAACCUCGGAUGAAAGUUUCAAAUUAAUGUAUCGUUUCCAUUUCGUCCUUGUUUUUGUAAAUGAGUAUAUUUGCUUCUUAGUUAUAGCAAAUACAUCUGUGUUUUUCUUUAGUUUCUUAUCGAUAUAUGCUUUUAUUCUAUGCUGUAAAAUAACAGUGUUAUUCUAUAGUUGCCAAUAUUUCUAUUUUCUGUUGCUUCUUCAGAUUUCACCUAAUAAUGGGCUUAACGACACGUAGAAGUUCGAGAGCGUCCAUAAUGGAUUUACCGGAGCUCAUCAUUUUAGAAAUUCUACUACAUCUGUCCAUUAAAGGGAUUGUAAUGUGCAAGUGUGUGUGCAAAACUUGGCAACGUCUAAUUUCUAACCCUCACUUUGCCAAGCAUCACUUUGCUCAUUCAAAAGUUGGCAUUCUAAUCCGACCCUCGGACGUUGGACGAAUUUCAAGAAUAAUUUACUUUAUGGAGCCAUCUGUAAUCAAUGUGAUUGAAGCUGGGCAGCAAGUAAACUUGAAGCUUGAUACCAAAUUGAAGAGUCCUUUGCUUAAUGUUGAUGCUCAUGCGAUUGCUUUCAACGAGGGGAAUACUAAGAGGAAGCGAACUAUUAACCUAGACACCAAGAAUCACAAGGUCAUUAUAGUGAAUUCGUGUAACGGCUUCCUUUGUUUGUUUGAGCGCUCCCAUAAUAACCCAACCGUUGUUUGCAAUCCGGUCAAAUAAAUAUCUGACAGACGGCAGUGGGCGCCGCUACAGCGACAGCACAGCGCUGUUGCUAACAGCGCGCGGCGCUGCUGCACACGUAGCAUCACGGGGAGCGCUACAUAUGGCGUCGGCCUCUUCUCUGCCACAAGGCACCUGCUCCAACAUGAGCUGGUGUCGUUACUCCGGGCGGCACUGGAGUGCGCCACCACCAAGAACAGAAGGUAUAUAUAUAUAUAUAUAUAUAUAUAUAUAUAUAUAUAGGUUUCAAUUUCUAUGAGUUUUGGGGAUGGGGGCCUCACGUGUAAAU
This 1758-nucleotide long non-coding RNA is filed under the name Olea europaea subsp. europaea. Lineage: Eukaryota; Viridiplantae; Streptophyta; Magnoliopsida; Lamiales; Oleaceae. The record is from RNAcentral.